RNAcentral lists this long non-coding RNA (877 nucleotides) under Monodelphis domestica (gray short-tailed opossum). RNAcentral's name for it is "lncRNA (ENSMODG00000040398.1)". The record is from RNAcentral. Lineage: Eukaryota; Metazoa; Chordata; Mammalia; Didelphimorphia; Didelphidae.
ACAAUUUAAAAAAAUACAACAUUCUUUUAAAGUUAAAGAAAUAAAACUUUAAUCAAUCCACAGGCUUUCUUAAGCACUUGGUGCCUACUACGUGCCAGGCACAGCAGCUAAGAGUUUGGCGACUCACGUACAAAGAAGGACAACAAUGCCUCAUUUUCCGGAAAUCUGCACCAGGAUUUACUUCUACCUUGAACAACACAUUUCCAUUUAGAUUACGCAAAAUUCUCUUGUGGUAUAAUUUCCUUCCCUUAGAGGGGGAGGGAGAUUGGGGCGGGGGGGGGGGGUACGAACAAGACGGUUAUUUAAUUGCUGAGAGCAAAGUCCCAACCUCGGCUCCAGAGUCAUAAAAGCUUUGCUUGGGAAAGGGGGAAACAGUUUCUAUAGCGACUGGGGGGUGGGCGGAGGGUGAAGAGAGAGGGUGUGGCCUUCCACCCUUUAGGUAAUUACCCAAUUUAGUCUCUAGCAGCAGCCGGGUUAGUCUGCUCCGACUUGGUGCGGCCACUCCAACACCUGCCCCCACCGGACCAAAGUUUGGACUUGCACAGUAGAUGACAUCAAAUUCCUUUGGCAGAAGAAGAUAAGGGGGAAAAUGGACUUCAUUUGACCUAUGGAAUUCUACCAUACUGAACAUAUGUCCCAAGAAAGAGGAAAAAAAUCAUUGAACAUCAGGUAUUUGCUUGGAAGCUUACUGCUGGAGCAGACGCAGCUUUUCCCGUGUAGCCUGCCAUGCUGGAGUUUGGAAGGUUUGGAAUGUAGGUGGAGGGAAUGGAGAACAACCACUAUGAAAGAAAUUCCCCUUUGUGAAAUUGCAUCUUAAACUCUUUUUGCCCCUUCUUUAUAAUCUUACAGCUGACCACAAAAAAAAAAAACAAGAGAU